RNAcentral lists this non-coding RNA (4592 nucleotides) under Cordylochernes scorpioides. The record is from RNAcentral. Lineage: Eukaryota; Metazoa; Arthropoda; Arachnida; Pseudoscorpiones; Chernetidae.
UACGUAUGAUUUUGGAAAGACAAUGCCCUUGAAACCCUUUCAACCUCUGAAUAAUAUCUAACGCCUUUCCAAAUGCUUUGACUUUUAUUUUUUCUGACGAGGACAUUUAGGUCGAAACGUCGAGAAAAGUGGCCAAAAGUUAAUUCUAAGAACUCUGAAUGCCGCCGGCCUCUAUCUUCAUGAUUCUGAACCAAAAUAAACUUAUGAAACUACCUGAUCGAUGGUUAUCUGGCAGUGAAACCAUGGCUGGACAGAAUGGGACGAUAGCAUGUCAUAUUUUGAGGACAAUACCGUCCAAAUCAAUUUUAGAGUGGUUUCGAGAUUCCAUCCUUAUUGAGACUUACAACGCCAUCUUCGCGCGGUGAUAUUGCUUGCUCGAGAAGUUCACAAAGUCGUGGUUUAUCAAAUAUUAUGGAAAAUGUAUUUGACUUUGAACAAUAUAUAAUGAUAUAUUUCUUAUACAAUAGUUUAUAGUUUUCAAUAUUUUCAAAGGAAUGAAUACAGUAUACACCAUUUGUAAACAGCCUCUAUAAAUAUAUUUUGUAUAGCGAGAUUGAAAAUGAACGAAAAGCAUACUUCAUUAGAGCAGAUUAAUCCACAGCGUCAAUAAACAUUCUUCUUAAUAAAACCAAAAGUGGAGGAUUGAUAGAGUAAUUCUCUAUAGAUAGUUUAAAAUAAACAACUUCAGUGUGUAUGGAUAUGCAUUGAAGAAUUAGUUUGUCAAAUUGCUAGUCUAUCCCGAUAAAAGUAGUGACGUAUAUAUAAGUAGAGGAAAACUAAUGCCUAGGUGUUUAUAAAAUAUUCGAUGGCAAAAGUAUUCCUUGAUACCCUGAGAUAAUCUAACAGCGUCGGCCGUCUAGUGCUCAUACGUAACUACGCGAAAGUCAAUACUUUAGAAUUGUGGUUUGCAGAAAACCUUAGGAGAGAGAACAAAGUGGGAUUGUUAGAAGCGUUUCUUCUAUCGGGAAUCCGUAUUGUAAUUUCCGCGAAGUUCCAAAGCCCUGAUACGGGGUUCCCAAUACUUCUCAACGAUUAUUCCGAAUUUUUUAUUUUAUUUUUACUCGGCUUGGGAAAUCUAUAUUUCCAUAUAUAUGAAUAACGGUAAUUUUAUGGAAAUUUUAAAAAAAUGGUAUAAGGAUUAAAAGAGGAUACAUAUUUAACAGAGAGAGAAAAAAAAAACAAUGAAAAAGAUAAUAAAAAAUGCCAAAACAUACAAAGUGCACAUAAUUUAACAAGAGAAUAUGUAGGAUAAAUUAAACGUGAAAUAACAAAAAGGGAAACGGCCCUCGGCACAAAAUUGGAGAAGACGCAAUAUACACAGGAUAUCUUCCAUCAAGAUCUGAAAGGGAAAACCACAUUUUGAGAGUAGGUAUCGAAACGAAUGAGGAAAUUAAUAAUUCCGGGGACAUUCCACGACAGGCUUUACUUAAGAGUUAGGAACAUAUAGGAAGAGGAAACAGGUUGUUGAAUAUGUAUUGAAUGUAACGAUUAUAUUUGGCUGUGUUCAAAAUAUAUUCUUCUACACUCAUGGACUUAAGGAAGUUGUACCUUUUAGCAUGUAUAUCGGGAUUCAGACUUCCUUAAGUUUUGUCCACACAUGAGUGUAUAUACAAAUGUGUCUUUUGUCUCCUCUUGUUAUUUAAACGAAACACAAUAAAUACCUCCCACAGUAUGUGUAUAAAGGUUUUAUAUACCUCCCGUUAUAUAAUUCAAUCAAACCUCGGUACACCUCUCACAUUGGAACAAUUACGUCAAAUAUAACUUCCAUAACUUCCAUAUCCAUCAUUAUUGAAACUUCUAUAUUUUUAUAAAAACUUCAGUAAUGUGUGUUUCUUCAUUGGUAUGGCGAGCUUUCUGUCAUUUAUUGUACAGGCAGGCAUACAGUAGUCCACAUAUUGGAACUAUAAGUAGAGCUCAUUAAGUUUUGUGCUGUCUUUGACUCUAUUUUUCAUCUCUCUCCAAUAUCUGUAAAACGUGAAAAUAUACUAUCGUAAUUGUAAUACUUAUAUGCAAAUAUCACUAUAUACAAGUACAUAAACAUCUGAGCGCGCAUGUAUGUACUAAAGUUACCAAUCAACAGAAAUAGAAAUCUAAUUAUUUUGGGGCGAAGAAAAAGCGACUCCUUCACCGAUAUCUUUUCGAAAAGGAAACUUGAAUACCUUAGAAAGAUACGUCUAAAUUAUGAGAAAGCGCUUACUUCAAUAAGAAAGUAUUUUGAUCAUUGUGGUUAACUUUGUGUGUAUGGUUACCAUCACAUGUCCUGUUCGGUUCAAAAGAGAUCAGAUUGUGCAUAAAAUAAACUUUUCUAUUGAAAGCAAAAAAGAGAUUCUAUGGAAUAUAUACGAAAACACCCAAAAUAAAAUAUUUUCAUAUAACAAAAUUCUCUGUUGAUUCGUCUGAUUUUGGUAGGUCCCCAGCACUUCGCCCCGUCGGUUCACUGAGCCUCAGUCUGCUGGGCCGGCGCCGCCUACUCCCAAUGUGAUGAAGUCAGCACCAGCCGCAGUAGCCCCACCGCUACUAAUACCUACCCCGAUGACCCAUGAGCUCCUGCACCCCCUAUAGCUCUCACUCCUGAGGGCGAUGUGGACAUAGAAAAGUUACUCAUCCGAUUGAAGGAUCGAGAAUUCCUGCACUCCAUAUAUAACAAGAAUAAUGUGGUCAGGAUGGAUAUCAUACUCGUGGUCUAUUACGAAGACGAAACGGAGCACCUCCUCGGGCUACUCACGCCUGAAGACAAGAUUCUUCUCGACAAAUUCUUCGACAUUAUCAUCAAACAUGUUCCGAACAUGAACUACCCAAAUGGCAGGGAUCUGUCUAGAUUCAAGGCGGCUUUAAGCUCCUGAUCCGGACGUGCCCUCGGAGAGGGCUACGUCGAUUGUAUAUAUCUCUUUUCAUUCCUACCAUUAUUAUUUCCUUAUAACUCCCUUUGAGUGUAAAGAUUGACGAGAUGUCAAUAAAGUUGUUUAAUUGUCAAAAUUGUCACAUUGAGCACUUUUUCCUGAAUUGAAAAAAAAAAAUUGCUCUAAUAGCCUCUUAUUCUUGCAAAAAUCCAAACCCACCCGUGAGUACAAGUAACCAAACGGGGCUCUGCCACAUUUGUAAGUGCAAAAGUCGAAUCGUUUUCUACGUGUGUAGACGGUAGCUCGACUUUUGAAUUUACCAGAACCCCUUUGGCUACUUGCACUCACUAGUGGAUUUGGACUUUAGCUAGAAUUAGGAUCAUUGAGGCAAUUUUUACCGUUGCUUUUACUGUAUCGUGUAUUACACAUGUCUCUACACAUGUAGAAACAUGUAAACAAUAUACACAUGUAAUCGCCUACUACUAGCCACCAUGAUUAUCAUGGCCUAUACCCCCCGUACUAGAGAUAAUAAUAAAUUGUUGUUGGUCGUUCUAAAUGUUUUCAAGUAAAAACUCAACGAUCAUAGUAUAGAAAAUAAUAUUUGAAUAUCUAAACAUUUUUCCGUUAUAGGUAUGAGACGUAUAAGAUAUAGGUUCAAUACGUUUAUAAAGCACACGUCGUUUUCUUUAGCUUCUCGUCAUCCCCCUCCCUAACUUCCCGUCACUCCUCCCCGGCCGCCUCUGUGGCCUCCCUAAAUGCCCUGGACACCACCCCUGCAGCAGCCCCUCACCGCACUACCGCUUCUGUGGGAAGCCAAACACUCCUUCCUCCCCCCAAGGAGGAGACAAGAUGUAACUGCCUUUAAAAGAACUGUGUGAAAGAACUCUAUAUUUAUCACUCAAUUUAUUUAAAAUAUUUAUCAUUUAUUUUAUUUAUUUCCUAUAUUUUUCCUAUAUUUUUUUUUUCAAAUUAAUAUAUAUUUAAUCAAUCAAUCAAUAAUCAUAUUUAUUCAUAUUUAUGUGUGACAAUUAAAAAUUAUUUAUUGUCUCUCUCACUCUCUCUCUCUCUCUCACUUAAUAAUACUUUUCUAAUAUUGCCUCGUCAUUAAUUUUUAUAAACAAAACAUACUUUGUUUACAAAAUAAAUAUUUUAUAAAGAUUUAAAAUAUAUAUUUAUAUAUAUAUUUGGAAAAUGGAAGAAAAAGUAAAUUCAAAUUAUCCGCAACAAGAAAUCUCGCAAUGCAUUCACGACCGCCGUUGGAGCAUGGCUCUCCAACUGGCCCUGCCAUUGGACUCGGGCGAAACUUCCCACUCCAUCAUCCUGGAAAUGGUGAAUUCAUCAGACCAGAUAAGGGAGACAGUGGCUGAAACCUUGAAGGAUCUGACGCCCAAAGAAUUGGGUACCCUGAUGGAACAGUCAUUCAACUGGUUGGCCAACUUCCCCCUCCAACGCCACCCAGCCAUCUUCAUUUUAUGCCACCUGUCCCAGACCAAGAGCUACCAGGAACUACUACAAAUAUAUCCUGAGUUCGAGGACAAAAGGCCUUUCUUCUUGGCUCAGCUUGAGGAUUUCCAGAGCGAAAUCAACCAGGAUCUUGGAGCCUCCGAGACAUUUUUGGAGAUGACUGUCAUGACAGACAAACUACUUAAACCUUAAUAUUACUAAAAUUGGUUAUUAAAAAUUAUUCUUUAGUUAAUCUCUCUCUCACUCUCUGACUGCUUUUCCAUUGACUAGUGAGAUUGCUAACUUAGC